CACGUAGGGCGCGAGCGUUGUCCGGAAUUAUUGGGCGUAAAGAGCUCGUAGGCGGCCUGUUGCGUCCGCUGUGAAAGCCCGGGGCUUAACCCCGGGUCUGCAGUGGAUACGGGCAGGCUAGAGGUAGGUAGGGGAGAAUGGAGUUCCGGGUGUAGUGGUGGAAUGCGUAGAGAUCCGGAGGAACACCAGCGGCGAAGGCGGCAUCCUGGACUGGUCCUGACACUCAUGAGCGAAAGCGUGGGGAGCGAUCCGG
This 253-nucleotide ribosomal RNA is filed under the name uncultured bacterium. RNAcentral's name for it is "partial 16S ribosomal RNA". It matches the Rfam family "Bacterial small subunit ribosomal RNA", at positions 524 to 776 of the family's 1533-position model. The record is from RNAcentral.